Molecule: ribosomal RNA, 24 nt
Filed under: Ganoderma lucidum
Lineage: Eukaryota; Fungi; Basidiomycota; Agaricomycetes; Polyporales; Polyporaceae
Also listed under: 24 other names
Description: partial 5.8S ribosomal RNA
Source: RNAcentral
CAACUUUCAGCAACGGAUCUCUUG